Molecule: ribosomal RNA, 1923 nt
Filed under: human gut metagenome
Description: bacterial LSU rRNA
Rfam family: Bacterial large subunit ribosomal RNA
Source: RNAcentral
UCAAGUGACUAAGUGUAUGUGGUGGAUGCCUUGGCGAUCACAGGCGAUGAAGGACGUGACAGCCUGCGAAAAGCUGUGGGGAGUCGGCAAAUAGACAUUGAUCCACAGGUCUCCGAAUGAGGAAACUCACCUGUUUUACAGGUAUUCAUAACUGAAUACAUAGGUUAUGAAGGCGAACGCGGUGAACUGAAACAUCUAAGUAACCGCAGGAAAAGAAAUCAACCGAGAUUCCGAAAGUAGCGGCGAGCGAAAUCGGAGAAGCCCUGUGUUUGAUAAUGACUUCGAUACCGGAACGAUCUGGAAAGUUCGGCUAUAGAGGGUGACAGCCCCGUACGGGAAAUCGACGUCAUGGUACUAAGAACACGAUAAGUAAGGCGGGACACGUGACAUCCUGUCUGAAGACGGGGGGACCAUCCUCCAAGGCUAAAUACUCGUGAUCGACCGAUAGUGAACCAGUACUGUGAAGGAAAGGUAAAAAGAACCCCGGGAGGGGAGUGAAAUAGAUCCUGAAACCGCAUACAUACAAACAGUAGGAGCCUCGCAAGGGGUGACUGCGUACCUUUUGCAUAAUGGGUCAGCGACUUACGUUCAAUGGCAAGCUUAACCGUAUAGGGGAGGCGCAGCGAAAGCGAGUUCGAACAGAGCGAUUGAGUCGUUGGGCGUAGACCCGAAACCAGAUGAUCUAUCCAUGGCCAGGUUGAAGGUGUGGUAACACACACUGGAGGACCGAACCGACUAGUGUUGCAAAAUUAGCGGAUGAGCUGUGGAUAGGGGUGAAAGGCUAAACAAAUCUGGAGAUAGCUGGUUCUCCCCGAAAACUAUUGAGGUAGUGCCUCGUGUAUGACUCCAGGGGGUAGAGCACUGUUAUGGCUAGGGGGACAUGGCGUCUUACCAAACCAUGGCAAACUCCGAAUACUUGGAAGUUUGAGCACGGGAGACAGAGCACCGGGUGCUAACGUCCGGACUCAAAAGGGAAACAACCCAGACCGCCGGCUAAGGUCCCUAAUAUUGACUAAGUGGAAAACGAAGUGGGAAGGCUAAGACAGUCAGGAAGUUGGCUUAGAAGCAGCCAUCCUUCAAAGAAAGCGUAAUAGCUCACUGAUCGAGUCUUCCUGCGCGGAAGAUGUAACGGGGCUAAGUCAAUAACCGAAGCCGCGGAUGCACAGCAAUGUGCGUGGUAGGGGAGCGUUCCGUAAGCCUGCGAAGGUGACUCGCAAGGGUUGCUGGAGGUAUCGGAAGUGCGAAUGCUGACAUGAGUAACGUUAAAGCGGGUGAAAAGCCCGCUCGCCGUAAGCCCAAGGUUUCCUGCUCUACGUUCAUCGGAGCAGGGUGAGUCGGCCCCUAAGGCGAGGCUGAGAAGCGUAGCUGAUGGGAACAAGGUUAAUAUUCCUUGACCGCCGCCAAGUGCGAAGGGGGGACGGAGUAUUGAAGAUCAUCCGGGUGUUGGAAGUCCCGGUUUCCGAGCGUAGGAAGUCGACAGGCAAAUCCGUCGACGAAUUUCCGAGGCGAAGGAUCGAGGUUCUACGGAACCGAAGUGAUUGGAUGUGCUUCCAGGAAAAGCCUCUAAGCUCCAGCUUGGCGGGACCGUACCGCAAACCGACACUGGUGGGCGAGCUGAAUAUGCUCAGGCGCUUGAGAGAACUCAGGAGAAGGAACUCGGCAAAUUGACACCGUAACUUCGGGAUAAGGUGUGCCUUGGUAGCGUGAAGGAAGAAACAUCCGGAGCGUGAAGAGGUCUCAGAGAAUCGGUGGCUGCGACUGUUUACUAAAAACACAGCACUCUGCAAAGACGAAAGUCGACGUAUAGGGUGUGAUGCCUGCCCGGUGCUGGAAGAUUAAUUGAUGGGGUGCAAGCUCCUGAUCGAAGUCCCAGUAAACGGCGGCCGUAACUAUAACGGUCCUAAGGUAGCGAAAUUCCUUGUC